GAUGAACGCUGGCGGCGUGCCUAAUACAUGCCAGUCGAGCGAACAGACGAGGAGCUUGCUCCUCUGACGUUAGCGGCGGACGGGUGAGUAACACGUGGAUAACCUACCUAUAAGACUGGGAUAACUUCGGGAAACCGGAGCUAAUACCGGAUAAUAUAUUGAACCGCAUGGUUCAAUAGUGAAAGACGGUUUUGCUGUCACUUAUAGAUGGAUCCGCGCCGCAUUAGCUAGUUGGUAAGGUAACGGCUUACCAAGGCAACGAUGCGUAGCCGACCUGAGAGGGUGAUCGGCCACACUGGAACUGAGACACGGUCCAGACUCCUACGGGAGGCAGCAGUAGGGAAUCUUCCGCAGUGGGCGAAAGCCUGACGGAGCAACGCCGCGUGAGUGAUGAAGGUCUUCGGAUCGUAAAACUCUGUUAUUAGGGAAGAACAAAUGUGUAAGUAACUAUGCACGUCUUGACGGUACCUAAUCAGAAAGCCACGGCUAACUACGUG
This 497-nucleotide ribosomal RNA is filed under the name uncultured bacterium. RNAcentral describes it as "partial 16S ribosomal RNA". It matches the Rfam family "Bacterial small subunit ribosomal RNA", at positions 28 to 507 of the family's 1533-position model. The record is from RNAcentral.